RNAcentral lists this ribosomal RNA (253 nucleotides) under uncultured bacterium. RNAcentral describes it as "partial 16S ribosomal RNA". It matches the Rfam family "Archaeal small subunit ribosomal RNA", at positions 474 to 727 of the family's 1478-position model. The record is from RNAcentral.
UACCAGCACCCCGAGUGGUCGGGACGAUUAUUGGGCCUAAAGCAUCCGUAGCCGGUCCUACAAGUCUUCCGUUAAAUCCAGCUGCUCAACAGAUGGGCUGCGGAAGAUACUAUAGGGCUAGGAGGCGGGAGAGGCAAGCGGUACUCAGUGGGUAGGGGUAAAAUCCUCUGAUCCAUUGAAGACCACCAGUGGCGAAGGCGGCUUGCCAGAACGCGCUCGACGGUGAGGGAUGAAAGCGUGGGGAGCAAACAGG